GGGCUCGCAGGCGGUUUCUUAAGUCUGAUGUGAAAGCCCCCGGCUCAACCGGGGAGGGUCAUUGGAAACUGGGGAACUUGAGUGCAGAAGAGGAGAGUGGAAUUCCACGUGUAGCGGUGAAAUGCGUAGAGAUGUGGAGGAACACCAGUGGCGAAGGCGACUCUCUGGUCUGUAACUGACGCUGAGGAGCGAAAGCGUGGGGAGCGAACAGGAUUAGAUACCCUGGUAGUCCACGCCGUAAACGAUGAGUGCUAAGUGUUAGGGGGUUUCCGCCCCUUAGUGCUGCAGCUAACGCAUUAAGCACUCCGCCUGGGGAGUACGGUCGCAAGACUGAAACUCAAAGGAAUUGACGGGGGCCCGCACAAGCGGUGGAGCAUGUGGUUUAAUUCAAAUCUACGCGAAGAACCUUACCAGGUCUUGACAUCCUCUGACACUCCUAGAGAUAGGACGUCCCCUUCGG
RNAcentral lists this ribosomal RNA (460 nucleotides) under Bacillus subtilis. RNAcentral describes it as "bacterial SSU rRNA". It matches the Rfam family "Bacterial small subunit ribosomal RNA", at positions 565 to 1023 of the family's 1533-position model. Lineage: Bacteria; Bacillati; Bacillota; Bacilli; Caryophanales; Bacillaceae. The record is from RNAcentral.